GACGUAGGAGGCGAGCGUUGUCCGGAUUCAUUGGGCGUAAAGAGCACGCAGGCGGUUUGGCAAGUCGGAUGUGAAAACCCGAAGCUCAACUUCGGGCCUGCAUCCGAAACUGCCCGACUAGAGGUAGGUAGGGGAGAUCGGAAUUCCUGGUGUAGCGGUGAAAUGCGCAGAUAAUCAGGAGGAACACCGGUGGCGAAGGCGGAUCUCUGG
This 210-nucleotide ribosomal RNA is filed under the name uncultured bacterium. RNAcentral describes it as "partial 16S ribosomal RNA". It matches the Rfam family "Bacterial small subunit ribosomal RNA", at positions 524 to 732 of the family's 1533-position model. The record is from RNAcentral.